GACGAACGCUGGCGGCGCGCCUAACACAUGCAAGUCGAACGAAGUUAAGUUAGCUGAAGUUUUCGGAUGGAAGCAGACUUAGCUUAGUGGCGAACGGGUGAGUAACACGUGAGCAACCUGCCCUUCAGUGGGGGACAACAGUUGGAAACGACUGCUAAUACCGCAUAAGACCACAGUACCGCAUGGUACCGUGAUCAAAGGAUUUAUUCGCUGAAGGAUGGACUCGCGCCUGAUUAGCUAGAUGGUGAGGUAAUGGCUCACCAUGGCAACGAUCAGUAGCCGGACUGAGAGGUCGAUCGGCCACAUUGGGACUGAGACACGGCCCAGACUCCUACGGGAGGCAGCAGUGGGGAAUAUUGCACAAUGGAGGAAACUCUGAUGCAGCGACGCCGCGUGAGGGAAGAAGGUUUUCGGAUUGUAAACCUCUGUCUUCGAGGACGAAAAAAAUGACGGUACUCGAGGAGGAAGCCACGGCUAACUACGUGCCAGCAGCCGCAGUAA
This 501-nucleotide ribosomal RNA is filed under the name uncultured bacterium. Its description in RNAcentral is "partial 16S ribosomal RNA". It matches the Rfam family "Bacterial small subunit ribosomal RNA", at positions 28 to 523 of the family's 1533-position model. The record is from RNAcentral.